RNAcentral lists this ribosomal RNA (468 nucleotides) under uncultured bacterium. RNAcentral describes it as "partial 16S ribosomal RNA". It matches the Rfam family "Bacterial small subunit ribosomal RNA", at positions 28 to 507 of the family's 1533-position model. The record is from RNAcentral.
GACGAACGCUGGCGGCGUGCUUAACACAUGCAAGUCGAACGGAAAGGCCCUGCUUUUGUGGGGUGCUCGAGUGGCGAACGGGUGAGUAACACGUGAGUAACCUGCCCUUGACUUUGGGAUAACUUCAGGAAACUGGGGCUAAUACCGGAUAGGAGCUCCUGCUGCAUGGUGGGGGUUGGAAAGUUUCGGCGGUUGGGGAUGGACUCGCGGCUUAUCAGCUUGUUGGUGGGGUAGUGGCUUACCAAGGCUUUGACGGGUAGCCGGCCUGAGAGGGUGACCGGCCACAUUGGGACUGAGAUACGGCCCAGACUCCGACGGGAGGCAGCAGUGGGGAAUAUUGCACAAUGGGCGGAAGCCUGAUGCAGCAACGCCGCGUGCGGGAUGACGGCCUUCGGGUUGUAAACCGCUUUCGCCUGUGACGAAGCGUGAGUGACGGUAAUGGGUAAAGAAGCACCGGCUAAGUACGUG